UCCAUUCACCUUUCAGAAUAAAUCUCACAUGAAUUCAUCAUCCAUGUUAUGGCAGAAUUUUUUUUUAAUACUGAUUUUUGAGGGGCGGGAACAUUGGUCAGGACCUACAGUCUGUCCUCCCUCUCCCAUCUCAAGGUGGGGCUCCCUGGGGGGCCAGGUGCCCUCCCUGGAGCCCACAGCAUGCGACAGGGUGGACAGCUCAGAGAAAGGGCUCAGAGAGUCUUGCAUGGACUAUGAAUUAAACAGGCAAGUAAAGGUCGAAACUUCAACUCUUACCAACGAUAGUUGGGAGUGCCUUCUCUAGGCUUUUCUUUUCUUUUUUUGACCAAAUUUAUUUUUUAUUGAAGGAUAAUUGCUUUAUAGAAUUUUGCUGUUUUCUGUCAAACCUUUCAAGUCAAAACUCCCCCAUCACUCCCCCAUCAGAGGACCGGGAAAGUCAUUUUACACAGCAGGGCCGUGGUUACAGCAUCCCACAGACACCAAGGGCGGCACAAAUCCAUCUAAGCCCAGAAUUAUGUGAGAACCUUUGAUUCUAGAAUGAAAGAGAACAGUUCCCCAUCUCUUCACUCGGGAAGAGAAACAGAGAAGAACUUGCACCAAGAAAGAGGCUCACGGGGCCGUAGCCCAGCAGACCGCACUGGAGCAGCCCCAGAUUGAGUGCACGUGGCUCCCAAGGCCCCAGGUGCCAGCACUGAGCUGUCAGGGACUCCACAUUUCCCCAAGAAGCUCUGCUCUCAGAUAAGGGCAGCUCUUAUCAGGAAGCGUGAGUGUGCCCAGUGCUGUUUACUUUGGCAGCAGCUCCCUUUCUCCUCUCUAAUUAACUGAGGCUGAUGAGUCCUCAGCAGCCCGGAGAUCAGAGGAGACUGCGUGAUCUCAGGCCCUUUCCCUCCUCUGGUCCCCCGGCUUGGCCUCCCUUGGCAUUUUUUUCAUUAACGUGGAGAGCAAAUUUCACCCACAUCCUGGCCUAGCAUCAAAUUCCAAAUCAGUGUUUUACUCUCAGAGCCCCUCUGUCAGCAAAAGUAUCUUUACAUCUCAUCAGACAUGAGCAAUGGUUUCCCCAUGGCCUCCACACGGAUGAGACACCCUUGUCCCAGCUCUCCUGCUACCUCUAGAAGAGCCUCCACCCCAUAUUCUAACCUGGCCUCCAGAACAUACGGCUAAACACUCCAUAAUGCAUGCGUGUGCACCAUCACGUCAUCAUGUCUGACUCUUUGUGACACCAUAGACUGUAGCCCACCAGGCUUCUCUGUCCAUGAGAUUUACCAGUCAAAAUACUAGCAUGGGUUGCCAUUCCCUUCUCCAGGGGAUCUUCCCAACCCAGGGAUAGAACCCAAAUUUUCUGCGUCUCCUGCAUUGCAGGUGGAUUCUGCCGAGCCAUGGGGGAAGCCCUCCAUAAUAAUCAACCUCAACUCCAUCAGAGGAAAUGGUCUCCGUGAGUCCCUGGUACCACUGUCAGAGCAAAGGCAAUCAGCAAGCCCACAGCUGAUCACCUAUCUUCUACAUUAACAUGAGGUAAUUGGCAGAGGACAGAGGCCACCACCCACGCACGUAAUUCACUUAGUACUUAGGUAGUCAGUUAUUCUGGUACCUCAAAAUUACUUUUCACCCUGAUUUUUUUUUAUUUUUAUUGUGUGUGUGUAUCUACCAACCAGGUCUUGCUUCAGAUCUUCUAAUUCAAAACAAAACCUUCAUAUAAUUAAUUUUUUCACUUUAGCACUAGGCUCAACUAAAGGGCACAUUGCCAGAAACUCAAAUGCUGUACCACAUUUCAUUUAAAAGGGUAGAUUUCCCCAAAACGUCCUUAAGACUAGUUCAUAGAUUAAAAACAGCUAGGGUCAGCUUCUGAUCAAAAAUAACCAGAGAGUGGGGUUACCCAUGACAUGUUUCCAUAGAUUCCUCGUAAAUACCUAUCAGAAAACAAGCAUCAUCCCAGCUGGGAAUUUCCUAGCUUCUUCCUGACGAUGAGAACCGUUUCUAUUACUGUAAAAUAAUCUGAUGAAACCAACAUGCAUUGGCAGCUGCCCACAUUCAUAGUAUUUCCUAUCUGGUUCUGUAAAGCGUAUUCAAGCACAUGGUCUCCCUCAGAUAGAAUCCAUCAUUUCCUACUUAUGCUGUUCACCUGGGGCUUAAAUCCUUUCUUUCAAGUGUCUGCCUCUUCCGAGAAACUUAGACUCAAGGGUGCUUCACUCCUACAGUGCACCUGAGUUUCAACAAAACUCUUGAUCAAAAUGGAAUAAAUCUUCUCCUUUGAUCAUUGCAACAGCCCUGGCUGGUGGGCAGAGGAGGAGGCUGGAGCUGGGAGUUGUAACUGCUAAGACUGGGACGCAAGGCAAAACCCAGACUCCUACCUUUCAGAUGUGCCAUCAGCGCCACGAGAAGCAAAACACAGCCCUGGACUUAGAAAAGAAAAAUGGACCAUUCAAUGCGUCACCGCUCACUGUGCAGGACUCCUGGGACAUGGGUCUGAUCCCUGGUCCAGGAAGAUGCCACAUGCCAUGGACAACUAAGCCCACCUGCCACAACUACUGAGCCCACAUGCCCUACAACACAUGCUCUGCAACACAAGAAGCCAUCACAAAGAGAAGCCUGUGCACUGGAACUAGAGAGCAGCCCCUGCUCACUGCAAAUAGAGUGCAACCAUAAAUAAGUAAAA
This is a long non-coding RNA of Bubalus bubalis (water buffalo), 2653 nucleotides long. RefSeq lists it as uncharacterized. The record is from RefSeq and is a predicted model, not a curated record. The transcript has 3 exons. NCBI's taxonomy places the organism in Eukaryota, Metazoa, Chordata, Mammalia, Artiodactyla, Bovidae.